RNAcentral lists this non-coding RNA (45 nucleotides) under Rhodosorus marinus. The record is from RNAcentral. Lineage: Eukaryota; Rhodophyta; Stylonematophyceae; Stylonematales; Stylonemataceae.
GUCUCUUUCCCUUUUUCUUUUUUUCUUUUUCUUUUUUUUUUCGCA